RNAcentral lists this non-coding RNA (183 nucleotides) under Microgenomates group bacterium GW2011_GWB1_45_17. The record is from RNAcentral.
ACAUCAUUCGACCGCAUAUGGUUGAAUGUAUGAAAUAUAAACUUCCUUUGACCCCGUAACGACUGAGUUCGAAAGAACGAGAUAGGAUAGUUGUCAUAAUCAUGACAAAUUUUACUUCCUAUAAUAUGCCGAGCCCCUUCGAAGAAGGGUGAAGAUAUAGUCUAUAUCUGUAGAAAUACAUGA